Molecule: ribosomal RNA, 803 nt
Filed under: Triticum aestivum (bread wheat)
Lineage: Eukaryota; Viridiplantae; Streptophyta; Magnoliopsida; Poales; Poaceae
Description: partial small subunit ribosomal RNA
Source: RNAcentral
UUGGUUCUUGUCAUGGAUCGGAAUAUCACGGGUCGGACCCGUUCCUGAACUUGAUUCUCGCGUUUGGUAUGUGCAUGGAACGGUGACCCACUCGUUCCCGCGAACCGAAUCCGGAACGAGGUGAGACCUCGAAUUCGAGCGGACGACGCGGAACCGUCUCCCCCUCGUCUCUCUCCCGCAACCCCAUCCCCUCUCGCCCUCCUCUCUGGUGCGCCGCCUCCCCCUCGUCUCUCUCCUCCCUCGAUCCGCGCCACCGGCAGCUCCUCUCCUUCAUCUGCGCCGCUGACUGUCCUGCCUCCACGCCACCGUCUCCCUCGUCUUCUCCUCAAUCAGUUGCAGGGCGGCGGACGAGCGGCUGCGGGGCGACGGUCUUGAAGCUGGGCGGCGAGCCAGGCUACUUCGGCGCGAGUAUUAGAAGCCAGCCAGCGGCAGCCACACCUGGUCGGCGGCAGCAUCAGCUUGCCUGGGCAGGGCCGAGAGAGGAAAGGAGCAGACGGCGUUCAGGAUUGAUGGAUGCGUUCAGUUCUGCUAGAUGCGUUCAUGCCAAACUCAACCUGUCCCUGAUGCUUGCAGUGAGAAAUUUUUAUUUUGUUCAUGCCUGUAGAUUUCUGCUGGAUGCGUUCAUGCCAAAACAGACUCUUCAUGUGAAUAGAAAACAGUGAGAUUUUUUUUCAUGUAUGAACUGUAGAUCCUUUUCAGAUUAUAUCAAUUGAUGAUGCUAAAAAUGUAAAGAGCUAUAAUUGUGACAAUGUAUAUACAUAUGUGAGAGUCCCACCAUUUAUAUGCAAAGAUUUGAGAUAAAC